This 477-nucleotide ribosomal RNA is filed under the name uncultured bacterium. Its description in RNAcentral is "partial 16S ribosomal RNA". It matches the Rfam family "Bacterial small subunit ribosomal RNA", at positions 30 to 507 of the family's 1533-position model. The record is from RNAcentral.
AUUGAACGCUGGCGGCAUGCCUUACACAUGCAAGUCGAACGGUAACAGGUUAAGCUGACGAGUGGCGAACGGGUGAGUAAUGUAUCGGAACGUGCCCAGUCGUGGGGGAUAACUGCUCGAAAGAGCAGCUAAUACCGCAUACGACCUGAGGGUGAAAGCGGGGGAUCGCAAGACCUCGCGCGAUUGGAGCGGCCGAUAUCAGAUUAGGUAGUUGGUGAGGUAAAGGCUCACCAAGCCGACGAUCUGUAGCUGGUCUGAGAGGACGACCAGCCACACUGGGACUGAGACACGGCCCAGACUCCUACGGGAGGCAGCAGUGGGGAAUUUUGGACAAUGGGCGCAAGCCUGAUCCAGCCAUGCCGCGUGCGGGAAGAAGGCCUUCGGGUUGUAAACCGCUUUUGUAAGGGAAGAAAAGGUUCUGGCUAAUACCUGGGACUCAUGACGGUACCUGAAGAAUAAGCACCGGCUAACUACGUG